GACGAACGUUGGCGGCGUGCUUAACACAUGCAAGUCGAACGGAAAGGCCCUGCUUUUGUGGGGUGCUCGAGUGGCGAACGGGUGAGUAACACGUGAGUAACCUGCCCUUGACUUUGGGAUAACUUCAGGAAACUGGGGCUAAUACCGGAUAGGAGCUCCUGCUGCAUGGUGGGGGUUGGAAAGUUUCGGCGGUUGGGGAUGGACUCGCGGCUUAUCAGCUUGUUGGUGGGGUAGUGGCUUACCAAGGCUUUGACGGGUAGCCGGCCUGAGAGGGUGACCGGCCACAUUGGGACUGAGAUACGGCCCAGACUCCUACGGGAGGCAGCAGUGGGGAAUAUUGCACAAUGGGCGGAAGCCUGAUGCAGCAACGCCGCGUGCGGGAUGACGGCCUUCGGGUUGUAAACCGCUUUCGCCUGUGACGAAGCGUGAGUGACGGUAAUGGGUAAAGAAGCACCGGCUAACUACGUGCCAGCAGCCGCGGUGAUACGUAGGGUGCGAGCGUUGUCCGGAUUUAUUGGGCGUGAAGGGCUCGUAGGUGGUUGAUCGCGUCGGAAGUGUAAUCUUGGGGCUUAACCCUGAGCGUGCUUUCGAUACGGGUUGACUUGAGGAAGGUAGGGGAGAAUGGAAUUCCUGGUGGAGCGGUGGAAUGCGCAGAUAUCAGGAGGAACACCAGUGGCGAAGGCGGUUCUCUGGGCCUUUCCUGACGCUGAGGAGCGAAAGCGUGGGGAGCGAACAGGCUUAGAUACCCUGGUAGUCCACGCUGUAAACGGUGGGUACUAGGUGUGGGGUCCAUUCCACGGGUUCCGUGCCGUAGCUAACGCUUUAAGUACCCCGCCUGGGGAGUACGGCCGCAAGGCUAAAACUCAAAGGAAUUGACGGGGCCCCGCACAAGCGGCGGAGCAUGCGGAUUAAUUCGAUGCAACGCGUAGAACCUUACCUGGGUUUGACAUGGAUCGGGAGUGCUCAGAGAUGGGUGUGCCUCUUUUGGGGUCGGUUCACAGGUGGUGCAUGCCUGUCGUCAGCUCGUGUCGUGAGAUGUUGGGUUAAGUCCCGCAACGAGCGCAACCCUUGUUCACUGUUGCCAGCACGUUAUGGUGGGGACUCAGUGGAGACCGCCGGGGUCAACUCGGAGGAAGGUGGGGAUGACGUCAAGUCAUCAUGCCCCUUAUGUCCAGGGCUUCACGCAUGCUACAAUGGCUGGUACAGAGAGUGGCGAGCCUGUGAGGGUGAGCGAAUCUCGGAAAGCCGGUCUCAGUUCGGAUUGGGGUCUGCAACUCGACCUCAUGAAGUCGGAGUCGCUAGUAAUCGCAGAUCAGCAACGCUGCGGUGAAUACGUUCCCGGG
RNAcentral lists this ribosomal RNA (1343 nucleotides) under uncultured bacterium. RNAcentral's name for it is "16S ribosomal RNA". It matches the Rfam family "Bacterial small subunit ribosomal RNA", at positions 28 to 1378 of the family's 1533-position model. The record is from RNAcentral.